CCUACGGGUGGCUGCAGUGGGGAAUAUUGGACAAUGGGCGAAAGCCUGAUCCAGCCAUGCCGCGUGUGUGAAGAAGGCCUUCGGGUUGUAAAGCACUUUCAGUGGGGAAGAAAGCCUUGGGGCUAAUACCCUCGAGGAAGGACAUCACCCACAGAAGAAGCACCGGCUAACUCCGUGCCAGCAGCCGCGGUAAUACGGAGGGUGCGAGCGUUAAUCGGAAUUACUGGGCGUAAAGCGCGCGUAGGCGGUCUGAUAAGCCGGUUGUGAAAGCCCCGGGCUCAACCUGGGAACGGCAUCCGGAACUGUCAGGCUAGAGUGCAGGAGAGGAAGGUAGAAUUCCCGGUGUAGCGGUGAAAUGCGUAGAGAUCGGGAGGAAUACCAGUGGCGAAGGCGGCCUUCUGGACUGACACUGACGCUGAGGUGCGAAAGCGUGGGUAGCAAACAGGAUUAGAUACCCGGGUCGUC
This 465-nucleotide ribosomal RNA is filed under the name Vreelandella stevensii. Its description in RNAcentral is "partial 16S ribosomal RNA". It matches the Rfam family "Bacterial small subunit ribosomal RNA", at positions 338 to 795 of the family's 1533-position model. Lineage: Bacteria; Pseudomonadati; Pseudomonadota; Gammaproteobacteria; Oceanospirillales; Halomonadaceae. The record is from RNAcentral.